CCAGCUCGGCCUGCAGCCGGCCCACCUGGCCCGCGAUCUUCUGCUCCACCUCCUCGCUCAGCCGCUCCAGCCGCCGGUCCACCUCCAGCUUCUCCAGCGCGCGGAUCUUGAGGCGCGCCAGGCCCUCUUCGUAGGCCACAUCAGCAGAUGAAGACGCUAAAGUUCAGAGUUCAACACAUGGCAUAGUCAAGACUUGAACUCAAGUCAUCAAACUCCAAAGUCUAUGCUCAACCACAGUGCCCUCCUGCCUUCUCUGCUAUAAUACAGUCCACUGGACCUUCACGUGUCAAAAUGCAGAUUCCCCAAAUCCAUCUGCUCUUGCAGAUGGCCAAAAAUGUCCGUAUGUUGUCUUGGUUUCACCUUUGUUGUGAUGUUUCUCCUCACUCUGUGCAUCCUGUGAAUGUGUCAGAACAAUUUGGGACAUGCAUGGCUAUGUAUGUGGGUGCUUUUGUGCAUGUGUGCAUGAGUAUGUGUGGAUGUGUGUGUGUAUGCAGGUGUACACUUGUGCAUAUGCAAGUGUACAUAGGUGCAUGUGUGUAUCUGUGAGCACAUGCAUGUGUGCAUGUGUAUAUGUGUGGGUAAGAGUUCAUGCAUGUGUAUUUGCACCUGUGUGCAUGUGUGUGCACAUAUGUCUGUGAAUGUAUGCAUGUGUAUUUGUGCGCCUGUGUGCCCAUGCUACAUUUCACAGACAACCGUUCCUGCUUGGUUGUUAUGGGAACCACAGUUCUAAAAAUGUUAAACUGAAUCCCACUCCAUGUGAACCAGAGAAACCAAAAGAGAAAGAGAGCUCAGUGACGGAGACACCUCUGGGGUCCCAGAGCUGAGGCAAAGAAUUGUGGGCUCAGCAAGAGCUGGAAAGACCCAGACUAGCCAGAGGUGUAGACCCACUCAUGAGGCCUAUGGUGCCUAUCAGGGCCCCUUGCUGCAGACUCGGUCCUCAGUCCUGCUUUUUCCCAUCUUUCCCUCCUGAUCCUUUCUCCUCCCUCUCUCUUUGCCAGCUUCAUGCUCUCCAACCACCUUCAUUCCCUCCUCCUUCCCCUUUCUGUUUCCCUUCUUCUCCUUUUGGGUUUUUUGUUGUUGUUGUUCAACUAAUUGACACAAUAAUUAAGCACUUUCACAUUAGACUUGGUGAUAUGGGGACCACACAUGUGGAUCAAAUGAGGUUUCUGCCCUUGAAGGUGCUCAAGGGUGGGAGCAUUUGGAUAACUGGUGGGGGAAGGGAGGUGGCAGAGCAAAGCACAAAGGGAGAGAUGACAGAGGAGGUUGGAAGGUGAAUUUGGAUCAGAUAUAGAGGGCUUUGACAGCAAGGGUGAAAAAUAGGUAUUGUUUUUAUAGGAGGGUGGAAACCUUGGUCAGUUUGCAAUGAAGCUCUUGUUUGUUGUGAAUGGUGUAUUAGGAAAUUUUCAUCAUUAAUGCUGGGCAAUGUGGAAUGAAAGAGGCAUAAUGGAGGCAGAGGGACCACAGGACGCAGUUUGGCAUAGUGUAGCCUUGUCUCAAAUAGGGUACAGGAGUUGGGGUGAAGAGGGAGAAAAUAGCAAACAUUCUGGGUUGCUUUCUCAAACUUCCCCCCCAUAUCCCACCUCAUCAAGAUUUAUAUUACUUUUUCCCACCUUUCUGGUGUGAGAAUCAGGACUUGAGUGAGCCUCUGUUACUGAUGUGUGUGUCAAAUUUCUCAGGUGCCCCAGGAAGUAAAAUAGUUGGGAAUCACUGGCCCAGCAUGUAGUAGCACUCAGUAUCUGUGGAGUGAGUGGAUAUUUAGAUAUGCACUGGUGUUGGAACUGGAAGAACCAGGUUCAAGGCCCAUUUCAUUCUCUUAUUAUCUGUGUGCCCUUCAUAAAAUCCCCAAUAUCUUGGGCUUCAGUAUUCUCUUCUAUAGAGUGUGGGUUUGGACAGGAUGUUCUUUUUAAAAAAAAUACUUUAAAAAAUAGAGACAGAGUUUUGCCAUGUUGCCCAGGCUGGUCUUGAACUCCUGGACUCAAGCCACCUACCCGCCUUGGCCUUCCAAAGUACUGGGAUUACAGGCGUAAGCCACCAUUCCUGGCCUGGACAGGAUGUUCUUACAAACUCCUUCCAACUGCAACACUAUUAUGUGAUUCUAUGAAAUUGACAUAGCCAAGGUAUGUGUGUAUAUGGAGGGAGUGGCAUGGACUAAGGUGCUGGCAAUAGGCACAGAGAGGAUAAAUGUGGGAAAUAUUUUAAUAGAAGAAUUAAUAUCAUCUGGCUUCAGUUUUCAACAACAUUGUUGACUAGAUAGCCCAAAGACUCUCUUGCUACAAAAUAUGUGGAUUGCUUCAUAAAAUGUAACAGACAUCUCCUGAAAUGCUUGGCUGAGCUUGCAAGAAAGGGAAAAAAAUCUACAUGGACCAAAAUAGGGGGACUGAGACCAAGAAAUAUAAGCAUGAGAUGUGCUGUGACUAACCCCAGAAGGUAUGGGAAGGGAGGCAUAUUGCUUGUUUGUCCUGACCUGGAUCCUGGUUAGAGAAGUGGGAACUGUCUCUGAGAAUUUAUAACUACUUGAGUUGGACUUUGAACUCAAAACAUCUGCAUGUUACAAGAACCUCAAACCAAGAAAUUAACAAAAGAUUGGUCUCCAUCAGGUGAUACUCUUGGAGUGUCUGGUAGAAGCAAACAGGAAACUGCUCAGGAGAAACAUACCAUCACCCAAGGCCACAGAGUAUUGCUGCCCAAGUAAAUCCUCACUGAAGUUGAGCUCACAAGCUAAAGAUUAUAAUACAUAACCCGGAACAAUGUACCGUGAAUGAGAGUAGAGAAGACCCUGAAGAAUUACAAUAAGAUUCAACAAGUCUAAGUGACAGCCUGGAUGUGUGGGGUGGGAAGAAGCAAAAGUGAAUCCCACAGAGCUGUAGUUACUUACAUGAAUCCAGGGAAUCAAAUAAUGUUGCUAUUACCAGAAAUAUGGAAGGGUGAUUUGAUUUUAGACGGACUGUAUUUGGAAUGGUGGUGGGACAUCCAUAUGGGGGUAUUCAUUAGAACCAUGGGGCUGUCUGACUUAGAAGCCAUCUACAUAGGAAUAAUAGCUGAAGGCCUGGCAAUGAAUGCACUCUGUAAGGAAAGUGUUGAAAUAGGAAAGAAGAGAGCUAAGAACUGGUCCAGGAAAACACUCCAGGAAAACACUCAUGUUUUGAGGACCAGUUGAAAAAGAGGAGCAAAUAAGGAAAAUGAGCUCUUUGGUCUCCAAUUCUGGUUGGGUCCUGGGUUUGGAUUGAUUUUCACAUUGUUUGGUUUUAAUUCUUUCCAUCUCUAGUCUAAUAUUCUCAUCCCUCACAAUCCCUAGGGGAAGCUCCAAUGAAUGGGAGCAGUGUCCCUUGGGACAUAGCAGGAACUUCUCAGCUAAGAGUUAUAGAGCCAGACUGGGCUCUGGUACCAGGACUACUACUAAGUCACUUCUUUGGGGUUCAAUUUUCUCAUCAGUGAUGUUAGGCCUAGGUGGGUGUGAGGAUAAGAAUAAUAGAGCUGAUAGCACUUGCUGGAAUGCUGCUGGAGAGGGCAAGAUAGGGGUGAUCAGAGGCCAGCAACCCACUGUCUGCGUUUCCUCCUUUGUUCAGCUUGUGUGGUUUGGGACCAGUUGCUUGAAAUAUGGGCCAUUAUGCUUUUCUUGCCCUACUCUUCAUGAAAAGUGAAGUCAGGUGGCCCAUGCCUAAUAAGUGAAAGGUGUGGUGACUUAAAUAGUAAGACAAUGAGGGUCAUCAUUAUCUUGUGUCUCCAUGAAUCUACCACUUAUCACAGUGCCUGACAGUCCACAAUUUGAGCCUCUUCAUAGGGUUAAACAUUGCCCUCUGCCGGCUACUGUUCUAAAAUGUUAAUUCUCCUAGAAGAGGUAAUAUUAAAUGCUUUACCACAAAUUAGUUUCUUAGAUACAAGAUACUUGGCCACAUGAAAGCACUUAACACCUGGGGAGAGAAAAGGAUGGAAUUCUCUGAGUUGAUCAUUUUGUCUCUGGUCAGCUGGACUGUGGGGUGGAGGGUGAGCAUAUCUUAGAGUGAAGGGGUGAAGAAAGAAGCAAGAGUAUCAGAAGCUGGUUUGAUCUGGCAUCAUAGGGCUGUAAGCUCUCUUAAUUCAAGAACAGCUCAGCUCAGAAGAGAAAAGAAUGAAGUCCUCAGACACAGGCCUUCUUUCUUCCUUAUCAGAGAGGGGUCAUUGGAGCAGAGAGAUGGAGACCACAGCGGCCUUUUUAUGCUCCAAGGUCUGCCCAAGGUGGCCAGAAAGAGUGGAAAAGCUUUGGGUGGGGAGUUCAAAGAGUAAAAAGGAGCCACCUUCACCAUUACAAGGUCAUGCUUUCCUCAUCACCCUCCUAGCCUUCCUCUGAUCCCAAAGCCAUGAAGAGUUCACUUGGAAGGACAGCUGGAGAAAAGUGGCUGUGGCAGGCGCAUGGCUGAAUGGUAAGUAGGCUGAUGCCACCUGGAGAAGAUCCUUUUUGUGGGAAGAGCAACUAAGGUGACCAUCAGUCUCUGGCAAGUGCCUGCUCCUAGCUAUAUUCAGGUGUGCUCUAGCUAAAUGCUGAGACCCUUUGGGUCCUGACAUCAUGUGACUCUUGAACAGAUGCAUAGAUACUGUCUGGAGCCUCUGUGACACUGAACACUCUGGGUUUUCACAAACAGCACCAAAAUACUGCAGCCUUUUGCUGCUGUCGCUACUGCCUGGAGCUCCCUCUAGCUGCCAAACCUGUUUCUCACCUUCUAGUAGGAAGCCUUUCCAAUCAGUGCUAUUAAGUUUAGGUGCCUCCAUUCUGGGGUUGGAAAAUGAGGGUUGGCUUUGAAGUUGGACAGAUUUGUUUGACCUGUCUGUUCCUAGCCUGGGUUAACUACAUUGUUCCAGCAAGCUAUCUACAUUGCUUCCACAUCUUUGACAUGAGGUAUAUGCCUGCUUUAUUUGGGAAUGCGAGGAUUAAGGAGAAUAAUAUAUACAUAAUGUUGAACACCUACGCCUUUUAACCGCUUUGAAGUUCCAGAAACACCUCCAGCCCUUAGGUGAGCUGUGAUUAAAUUCGUUCAUUAACCCAACACACAUUUAUUGAAUGCCUACUCUGUGCCGCAGUUCCUGGCAGGUGUGCCUGACAGUGGGUGUGUAAUAUGUUCAGGGCCUGUACCCCAUGAGCAUGGGGAUCUCCUUUAUCUUCUGGCACAUAUGGUCCUGGGGGAGAAGCUGAGGGGAAGGGUCAGGAGCUUACAUGGCAGAUUCAGUAAGCUUUUAGCACAAUAAUUUUAAUUGCAAAAAUAAACAGUUUUGUCAACUGCUUGAGAGUAGCGUCUGCUUUACAAAAUUAACAACAACAAAAGGAAAAAAACCCCAAAGCAAAACGUUACAUCCAAUGGCUGCUGGAUAA
Molecule: long non-coding RNA, 5344 nt
Organism: Gorilla gorilla gorilla (western lowland gorilla)
Lineage: Eukaryota; Metazoa; Chordata; Mammalia; Primates; Hominidae
Exons: 2
Source: RefSeq, a predicted model, not a curated record